GAUGAACGCUGGCGGCGUGCCUAAUACAUGCAAGUCGAGCGAACAGACGAGGAGCUUGCUCCUCUGACGUUAGCGGCGGACGGGUGAGUAACACGUGGAUAACCUACCUAUAAGACUGGGAUAACUUCGGGAAACCGGAGCUAAUACCGGAUAAUAUAUUGAACCGCUUGGUUCAAUAGUGAAAGACGGUUUUGCUGUCACUUAUAGAUGGAUCCGCGCCGCAUUAGCUAGUUGGUAAGGUAACGGCUUACCAAGGCGACGAUGCGUAGCCGACCUGAGAGGGUGAUCGGCCACACUGGAACUGAGACACGGUCCAGACUCCUACGGGAGGCAGCAGUAGGGAAUCUUCCGCAAUGGGCGAAAGCUUGACGGAGCAACGCCGCGUGAGUGAUGAAGGUCUUCGGAUCGUAAAACUCUGUUAUUAGGGAAGAACAAAUGUGUAAGUAACUAUGCACGUCUUGACGGUACCUAAUCAGAAAGCCACGGCUAACUACGU
RNAcentral lists this ribosomal RNA (496 nucleotides) under uncultured bacterium. RNAcentral describes it as "partial 16S ribosomal RNA". It matches the Rfam family "Bacterial small subunit ribosomal RNA", at positions 28 to 506 of the family's 1533-position model. The record is from RNAcentral.